UGUGUUCUUAUUUCCAAAUAUAGCAGCCAUUUAUAUGAUAUAAUAUUUCUAAGUAAAUGUGAUGUUGCACACUUUCUUCCUACAUUUAUUGGCAAUUUAGUUUGUGUGUGUGUACAUCUUGGUCAGAGAGGGUCUCCCCUCCCCUGCUCAGUCAACCCCCUGCGUGUGUAAUCCCUGCCAGCUGUCCCUACAAUCUAAUCUCUCUACCACGAUCAGCUGGGACGUUACACGUGUGUGUGUGUGUGUGUGUGUGAGCGCGUAUGUAUGUGCCCAGGGAGGUGGGGGUGGUGUCAAACGGAGAGCAUAAAUUGUAGCCCGAGCAUGUGCACAGCGCAGUGUGUGUGUGUGACCGUGUGUGUGAACUGCUCAUCCCUUGCAUACCUGCUCCUUCCCUCUUCCUCUGGAUAUGUAUACAUAUAUGAUGUGUUUAUAUAUGUAUAUGCGCAUUCUCAGCUUUUCGUAAAAAAAAAAAAAAAAAAAAAAAAAAACUUUUUUUUUGUGGCGUGCACAACUGGAUUUUCUCAGGCUGAUUUUCUCACGGGAGAGAAUACUCCUCUUUUUUUUUGGCUUUGGUUUUUUAGCGGCUGCAACAUCCCAGCACCUGAUUUUCCCUUCCUGCAUGCGUGAAAACCUUCCUACCUGCCUACCUCUUCCCUAAAUCCCCUCCACCCCACCCCCAGAACAUCUCCCCUUGCAAUCCCACUCUCCAGCCCCCAAGAAAAGGAGCCUCAGCUGGGGCAGAGAGCUUCGACAGGACCCCCUGUUCACCCUUGGAUGGAGAAUAGCAAGAACUGAUGGAACAGAAUGGGAAAAACCAGGAUAUACAUUUCUGUUUUCUCCGCUAGAGCGAGAAUGCGAGGAAAAAGAACGAAGCUAAAGAUAAUUCGCUGCUUAAUGUCAGUAGUUUUGAAGAAAUAGACCGUGCUUCUGGGUAAUUGUUGUAUGAGAUCUGAUGCUUGUGGCUGUAACUGAUGUGUUUUGGAAUAUUAUUAUUUUCCUAAAUACAUGUACAUCUCUGUAACGUAUGCAUUUAUUUCAACUGUCAUCGUCAGCUUCAACUCAUUUUAUGUGAUGUGAUUUUAACCGUACUUGUUUUUACUUGCCGUAUAGGUGUGCGUAUGCUGAGAGAGAGUGAGAGAAAUAAAAAGACAGAGAGAGAGGUGGGGGGAGAGAGGGAGAGAACAGACUGUCAUAGGGAAGUGCUAGCUUUACAUUGUGAUGCUGGCAGCCGUCUCAUCAUGGCGGUGGACGUGCUGAAUAGAUGAGGGGGAGAGCAGUGCAUAGCUUUGCAUCUUCGCACAUCCCUCACACACAGCUUUGCUGAUCCUCUUUGUUUGGCCGAGAGAGGGAAAAGGUCUGCUGGAAUGAAACAGAAGGCAGGUGCCAGGGCUUCUAGCAGAAUGGGUACAACAAAAGGCCGAUGGAAGAGGGGGAAUUAUGUGAUUUAAAACCCGCACGCACAAGGAGAACCCUGGGAAAGAUGUGCGAUAGUGUGUUUGUAAGUGUUUGAGAGUGAGUGUGUGUGAUUGUGCAAGAUUAGGACUUCUUGUUUGGACUGCACUAACACCACCGAAGCCCACAUCAGAUGCAGAAGGAGGAGGACAGGUGAGAAGAGAGGGAUUUUAGAUGAACACAGAAACACGGUAUUGUACUGAAGGACAAGAACAGGAUGUGCAGACUGCAUAGGGACCAAAUACAUACAGCGAGAGAACCGGCAGGGAAGCUGAAGUGCAUGAUUGAACCGUUAGCCGUGAGAACAGACCAGAUUGCAAGGAUGAAGAGGAACGGAGAGAGUAUGUAGGAAAAGACAAAGUGGACGACAUUUGGAAACUUGGGUUUUUGCUCUUUGUGUUCACAGUGGACCUUGAUUUAAUUUCAAUACAAUUAAGGCACGCGGUGAAUGCCAAGAGAGAAGCCAAAAGCAGCACUCACCUGAGCAACCGAUCGAUGGGACAAUGUCAUGUUGAGUACGGUCACUACAACUGUUGUUUCAUAUUAGACAUCAUAUGUGCACAAUAAAAUAAUACACUACACUUGCCAA
Molecule: long non-coding RNA, 2041 nt
Organism: Cyprinus carpio (common carp)
Lineage: Eukaryota; Metazoa; Chordata; Actinopteri; Cypriniformes; Cyprinidae
Exons: 2
Source: RefSeq, a predicted model, not a curated record